Molecule: ribosomal RNA, 378 nt
Filed under: uncultured bacterium
Lineage: Bacteria
Description: bacterial SSU rRNA
Rfam family: Bacterial small subunit ribosomal RNA
Source: RNAcentral
GACGAACGCUGGCGGCGUGCUUAACACAUGCAAGUCGAGCGGUAAGGCCCUUUCGGGGGUACACGAGCGGCGAACGGGUGAGUGACACGUGGGUGACCUGCCCUCAGCUCUGGGAUAAGCCUGGGAAACCGGGUCUAAUACCGGAUAUGACUCCAUGACGCAUGUUGUGGGGUGGAAAGCCUUGUGCGGCUGAGGAUGGGCCCGCGGCCUAUCAGCUUGUUGGGGGGUGAUGGCCUACCAAGGCGACGACGGGUAGCCGGCCUGAGAGGGCGACCGGCCACACUGGGACUGAGACACGGCCCAGACUCCUACGGGAGGCAGCAGUGGGGAAUCUUGCGCAAUGGGCGAAAGCCUGACGCAGCGACGCCGCGUGAGGGA